RNAcentral lists this long non-coding RNA (203 nucleotides) under Elaeis guineensis (African oil palm). Its description in RNAcentral is "long non-coding RNA (EGUI_LNC038043)". The record is from RNAcentral. Lineage: Eukaryota; Viridiplantae; Streptophyta; Magnoliopsida; Arecales; Arecaceae.
GGGAGGUUCCCCGAAUUGGAUCUUGACUUCCUGAAUGAGGCAUCCGAUGAUGAAGCUGGACCAUCCGAAGUCGCUGCCGGUCCCCUUCCAACCGGGACCACGUCGACUGCCAUGGCCACCGCUGACGAUCUUUCGGGGUUGCCAACCCCCUCUACUUUUGCCCCAGAGGUCCGGAACCUCUAGUUUUGUAUUUUUCCUUUGUG